Molecule: ribosomal RNA, 499 nt
Filed under: uncultured bacterium
Lineage: Bacteria
Description: bacterial SSU rRNA
Rfam family: Bacterial small subunit ribosomal RNA
Source: RNAcentral
AACGAACGCUGGCGGCGUGCCUAACACAUGCAAGUCGAGCGCGAAAUUUCCCUUCGGGGAGAAAGUAGAGCGGCGCACGGGUGAGUAACACGUGAAUAAUCUACCUCUCAGCCUGGGAUAACCACGGGAAACUGUGGCUAAUACCGGAUAAGCUUACACUGUCUCUGGGCAGAGUGAGAAAAGGCGGCCUCUGUAUAUGCUGUCACUGAAAGAUGAGUUCGCGUCCCAUUAGUUAGUUGGUGAGGUAAUGGCUCACCAAGACUUCGAUGGGUAGCUGGUCUUAGAGGAUGAUCAGUCACAUGGACACUGAGACACGGGUCCAACUCCUACGGGAGGCAGCAGUGGGGAAUAUUGCGCAAUGGAGGCAACUCUGACGCAGCAACGCCGCGUGGGUGAAGAAGGGUUUCGGCUCGUAAAGCCCUGUCCUGGGGGACGAAAAGCUUCGGUUAAUACCCGAAGUCAUAGACGGUACCCCAGAAGAAAGCACCGGCUAACUCCG